CAGAAGCCUGUGACAAGGAGACUGGGAGGUGUCUCAAGUGCCUGUACCACACGGAAGGGGAACACUGUCAGUUCUGCCGGUUUGGAUACUAUGGUGACGCCCUCCGGCAGGACUGUCGAAAGUGUGUCUGUAAUUACCUGGGCACCGUGCAAGAGCACUGUAACGGCUCUGACUGCCAGUGCGACAAAGCCACUGGUCAGUGCUUGUGUCUUCCUAAUGUGAUCGGGCAGAACUGUGACCGCUGUGCGCCCAAUACCUGGCAGCUGGCCAGUGGCACUGGCUGUGACCCAUGCAACUGCAAUGCUGCUCAUUCCUUCGGGCCGUCUUGCAAUGAGUUCACGGGGCAGUGCCAGUGCAUGCCUGGGUUUGGAGGCCGCACCUGCAGCGAGUGCCAGGAACUCUUCUGGGGAGACCCCGACGUGGAGUGCCGAGAUGUGGAAGACGUGACUCAGUUUCCUGAUUACCCAGGGUCACAUAACAUGUGUGGAGAAGGCAGGAUUUACCACCUCAGUCCGCAGUUCAUGCUCUUAACCAUAAUGCUGUACUCCUCAAACCUGCCACUCGAGAGCUUGGAAUGUGGGGGGAGAACAAAGACAAUAAAAAGAGAAACUAGCAUUACAAGGCAGGAUGUGGUGAGGGCCAAAUGAAUGGGC
RNAcentral lists this small RNA (653 nucleotides) under Pan troglodytes (chimpanzee). Its description in RNAcentral is "processed transcript". Lineage: Eukaryota; Metazoa; Chordata; Mammalia; Primates; Hominidae. The record is from RNAcentral.